Molecule: long non-coding RNA, 455 nt
Organism: Gossypium raimondii (Peruvian cotton)
Lineage: Eukaryota; Viridiplantae; Streptophyta; Magnoliopsida; Malvales; Malvaceae
Exons: 3
Source: RefSeq, a predicted model, not a curated record
ACCCUCUCGAUUCACGCUUCUGUCUUACCCAAAAUACACCGUCUUCUGUUUUUUCCUUCUACCUUUCUUCUCCACUCUCCUCACCUUUCUGUCUUACCUUUCUGUCUCCACCGAUUCACGCUUCUACCUUUCUGUUUUACCUCUCUUUGGCGUCACAACUGGACUUCGAACACCGAUCAAAAAGCAGCCUCCAUCUCACGUUUUCCGUUCCUCUCCAUCGGUGAAACUGUGUUCUGUCCAUUGGAACCGCUCUUGGUAGCCCUCAAAGUGCGUUACCCUCAACGGAUAACAAUUCUCAGGGGAAAUCAUGAGAGCCGUCAGAUUACUCAAGUGUAUGGCUUUUAUGAUGAAUGCUUAAGGAAGUGAGUAUCUUAGAAUCUUGCUAUAUAAAUUUAUUUGUGUGCAGAAAUACUUUCUUUCUUAGGGUUGAGAUUGAUGCUACCUUUCUUUAUUUU